UUGGCGUAAGAGCUGUAGCCUAGGCUCUUGAGAGCAUAACAGGAUUGAAUGCAGAUCCAGCCCUCCUGAUUGAAAAAAGUGAGCCAGGGAACCCUUUAUCCGGGUGCUUCUGUUGACCUGGGCACACAAUUUCAAGUUUCUGAAGCUGAAGAAGAUCUCAAUAUGUAGAAUUGAGAAAGUGUCAUUCCAGGGCUGGGGUAGUACAAGACCCAGCCUGAGUUCAUAUAAUCCUAAAUGCCGAUCUUCAUUGGGUUCUAUCUUCCUGGGGCCAGCUCCUACUUCAGGCCAAAUCCAUUUUAUGAAAAAUUGAAGAUAAAGAAGAAAGAGGUAAUGUCAUUACUGCACAACUUAGACACAAACAACAUUGAACAUCGUGAGAAAUUUCAGGAGCUCAAGAAGGAGACUAACUUCUAUCAGUAAGUACUGGUCAGAAGGGCCCAUCACUUGUGGAAUGGCCAUCUCUGCCUCUCUUUGUUCUGGACUGGAGAGCCUGCAGCUCUGAGUCCAUCUGUUCUGCUGUUUAAAAAUCACUGUGCCGUGGGUCUUUUGGACUCAGUUUCAGUUCCAUAGGAGACUGUCACUUAUCACCACAGUAUCUAUGCAUCUUUAGAAGGCUCUGGAUAGAACUACACUGAUUCAGGCAUCAGAGUGUUAUUAGGCCGACCUGGGCCUCUGGGGUCAUACCAGGUUUAACAAAGCUCUAUGUGUGGACCACAUGGUUAGCAUGACCUCCCCUUGUUUCUACUGUCCUCCUGUGGUUGUUUGCUGCCUCCUAAUUGAUGUUGCCCCCAUGAAUUGGGCAUUCACGGGAUACUUGUAGAUCCCUUGUUCUUUUGGAGAGACAUGAACACUUAUUGCUGCUUGGCUCACAGAAACAAUUCAUUCUUCCCUGAAUUGGCCGUUUGCUGUUUGUGCAGCAGCCUUACAUGUAUGAAGAUGUAUUCUAUGAAGUCUUCAUGGGUAUCUGGGUCCUGGUGGAGUUUGUGGGAUUUGGCAGUUGGAAUGGGAGGAAGAGGCUUCUGGAUCUUACUAUGCAGAGUGUGUUUCCAGCAACCUGCACAGCCGGCUCCUGAUGGACCAGGCAUGUAUGAAGAAGUUGGUCACAUUGAAGCAGGAGAGCAAGGAGGUACAGCGAUAUUUGUCUGAGUUGAACCCGAAUGAUGAAGACGAACAGGAGAAGACCAGCAACCUCCAGACCCAGCAAAAUUUGUAGGAACAAGCAGCUGAGUCAGAUUAACAAUGUCUGAUACCAUUUGCCUAUUGGAUACAUCUUUGCUUUCCCCUAUCACCUUUCUAAUCUCCCCACACCCAAUCAGUCACCCACCUCAUGUGACAGAGUUAUUCAUUGCUCUGUCUAUGCACAAGUAUUCUGGGAAGUUAACCACUCUUCAGACACUGAAUUAUGGGCAAGUACACUUUUCUGCCCUUUUUGAAACUGCAGUCCAGAAAUAGUGACAGAGGAAUAACAUAUCACAUUACUGCAUCUCCCUGUCAUAGAUUGGAUGCUAUGAAGAGUUUUGAACAAAUUCUUGGUCCUCUGACAAAGGUCAUACAGGGGUCAUGUGAUGGUUGGAAGCACCUUGUAGGGAUAAGAACCAAGUGCAAAUGGCAAAUGAGUCCUGGUCAUUGGCUUUGAUCUGGGUAUCAUGUGGCCUUCUCCUUUCUUCCUGCAACUCAAAUAGGUCUCUCCCCAUUUCCCCGUUCUUGGUUUGCACUGGUAGAAGUCUGAGCAGCAGCUUGUUAUCCCACAGUACUGUGAGGGUUGCUGGUGAUUUUCCCCAGCCUGCAGAGAUAUCAGCAAUGAUUUCAGUGAAAAGAUCAGUGCUGUCUGUCCAAUGCAGCUGAAGGGACAGAAGGCAGCAACUUGAGAGCUGGUAUGCGUGUCCCCACCAAAUCAGUGUCUUAAUAGCUGCUUUCUUCUCCCAGGUCUCAGAAACUGCAGAAGACAUGGAAUAGGACGGACCCCAGGAAGACAGCCCCCUGAAGAAUGAGUUCCUCUUUCAGGAGUUCCCUGUGACGACAAUCCUCAACAGUCAAAGACUUUUUGUGGGUGAAUAUUCUUCUUCUCAGUUAAUUUCCUCAAUGUCUAGAGACCCUAAAUUUAUGUAUCAGUAUGGUGGCCUGUCUGAUUGAGGUGUUUCUCCUUUCUCAUAUCGACAACACCAUUUGAGAGACAACUGCGGGGACUUCCUUGACAUCUCAUGUCCUAGAGGAGAAACAGCACUACAACUGUGUUUCUAAAUGGUCAUUAAAAAAUGCUGUUAAG
Molecule: long non-coding RNA, 2266 nt
Filed under: Rattus norvegicus (Norway rat)
Lineage: Eukaryota; Metazoa; Chordata; Mammalia; Rodentia; Muridae
Description: long non-coding RNA NONRATT014162
Source: RNAcentral